GACGAACGCUGGCGGCGUGCUUAACACAUGCAAGUCGUACGGUAAGGCCCUUUCGGGGGUACUCGAGUGGCGAACGGGUGAGUAACACGUGAGUAACCUGCCCACAACUUUGGGAUAACGCUAGGUAACUGGUGCUAAUACUGGAUAUGUGCUCCUGCUGCAUGGUCGGGGUUGGUAAGCUCCGGCGGUUGUGGAUGGACUCGCGGCCUAUCAGCUUGUUGGUGGGGUAGUGGCCUACCAAGGCGGCGACGGGUAGCCGACCUGAGAGGGUGACCGGCCACAUUGGGACUGAGAUACGGCCCAGACUCCUACGGGAGGCAGCAGUGGGGAAUAUUGCACAAUGGGCGCAAGCCUGAUGCAGCAACGCCGCGAGCGGGAUGACGGGCUUCGGGUUGUAAACCGCUUUCAGCAGGGACGAAGCUUUUUGUGACGGUACCUGCAGAAGAAGCACCGGCUAACUACGUG
This 465-nucleotide ribosomal RNA is filed under the name uncultured bacterium. Its description in RNAcentral is "partial 16S ribosomal RNA". It matches the Rfam family "Bacterial small subunit ribosomal RNA", at positions 28 to 507 of the family's 1533-position model. The record is from RNAcentral.